This 191-nucleotide ribosomal RNA is filed under the name uncultured bacterium. RNAcentral's name for it is "partial 16S ribosomal RNA". It matches the Rfam family "Bacterial small subunit ribosomal RNA", at positions 338 to 524 of the family's 1533-position model. The record is from RNAcentral.
CCUACGGGAGGCAGCAGUGGGGAAUUUUGGACAUGGGGGCAACCCUGAUCCAGCCAUGCCGCGUGUCUGAAGAAGGCCUUCGGGUUGUAAAGGACUUUUGUUAGGGAGCAAGUCCUGCAGGUUAGAGCUAGUAGGGAUGAGAGUACCUAAAGAAUAAGCAUCGGCUAACUACUGCCAGCAGCCGCGGUAAU